UCCCUCUAGAAUAUGAACCAUUGCCAAAGAAUCAGUCUCAAUAAUAAUCUGAGACAAUAUAUUGUCUCUACAAAACACCAAGCAUUCUCUUAUGGCUAUGGCUUCCACAUCAAAUUUGUGGUCUCCUGAAGUUUGACCCCUUUAACUACAAUUAUAUUUCAUUUAUGAUCCCUAAUACAAAAAAGCAGUUGAACUAGGUCCAGGGCUGCCCUUAGAAGCACCAUCAAUAUUAUCUUUAAGCCAAUUUAUCGGAGGUGGAACCCAUUUCACCACUUUGAAGUUAUAGACUACUCUAUACCCUUCCAGAUACUGCACAAUUAGAG
Molecule: long non-coding RNA, 323 nt
Filed under: Solanum tuberosum (potato)
Lineage: Eukaryota; Viridiplantae; Streptophyta; Magnoliopsida; Solanales; Solanaceae
Description: long non-coding RNA (STUB_LNC008141)
Source: RNAcentral